AAAAAGUUAGUUUAUUAAAACAUUAAUUUGUCAAGUUAAAAAUAUCAAUAGAUACUUUUUA
Molecule: transfer RNA, 61 nt
Filed under: Metacanthus pulchellus
Lineage: Eukaryota; Metazoa; Arthropoda; Insecta; Hemiptera; Berytidae
Description: tRNA-Asp
Source: RNAcentral